GGAUUUAUUGGGUUUAAAGGGUGCGUAGGCGGUCUGGUAAGUCAGCGGUGAAUUUCCGAGCUCAACUUGGAACGUGCCGUUGAUACUGUCGGACUAGAAUGCGGAUGCCGGGGAGGAAUGUGUGGUGUAGCGGUGAAAUGCAUAGAUAUCACACAGAACACCGAUUGCGAGGCAUCUCACGAAUCCGCAAUUGACGCUGAGGCACGAAAGCGUGGGGAUCAAACAGGAUUGAUACCCUGGUAGUCCACGCUGUAAACGAUGAUGACUAACCGUCGGCGAUACACAGUCGGGGCCAAGCGAAAGCGAUAAGUCAUCCACCUGGGGAGUACGACCGCAAGGUUGAAACUCAAGGAAUUGACGGGGGCCCGCACAAGCGGAGGAACAUGUGGUUUAAUUCGAUGAUACGCGAGAACCUUACCCGGGCUCGAACGGCAGGGGAAUCACUCAGAGAUGGGUGAGUCUUCGGACUCUGUCGAGGUGCUGCAUGGUUGUCGUCAGCUCGUGCUGUGAAGUGUCGGCUUAAGUGCCAUACGAGCGCAACCCUUGCCAUUAGUUGCCAUCAGGUUAAGCUGGGGACUCUAGUGGGACUGCACCGCAAGGUGUGAGGAAGGGGGGGAUGACGUCAAAUCAGCACGGCCCUUACGUCCGGGCGACACACGUGUUACAAUGGUGGGUACAGAGGGAAGCUACCUGGCGACAGGAUGCAGAUCCGAAAACCCAUCCCAGUUCGGAUUGGAGUCUGCAACCCGACUCCAUGAAGUUGGAUUCGCAGUAAUCGCGCACCAGCCAUGGCGCGGUGAAUACGUUCCCGGGCCUUGCACACACCGCCU
Molecule: ribosomal RNA, 830 nt
Filed under: uncultured bacterium
Lineage: Bacteria
Description: bacterial SSU rRNA
Rfam family: Bacterial small subunit ribosomal RNA
Source: RNAcentral